RNAcentral lists this ribosomal RNA (253 nucleotides) under uncultured bacterium. RNAcentral's name for it is "partial 16S ribosomal RNA". It matches the Rfam family "Bacterial small subunit ribosomal RNA", at positions 524 to 776 of the family's 1533-position model. The record is from RNAcentral.
UACAGAGGUCUCAAGCGUUGUUCGGAUUCAUUGGGCGUAAAGGGUGCGUAGGCGGCGCGGUAAGUCGGGUGUGAAAUCUCGGAGCUUAACUCCGAAACUGCAUUCGAUACUGCCGUGCUUGAGGACUGGAGAGGAGACUGGAAUUUACGGUGUAGCGGUGAAAUGCGUAGAUAUCAGGAGGAACACCGAUGGCGAAGGCAGGUCUCUGGGCAUUAACUGACGCUGAGGAGCGAAAGCAUGGGGAGCGAACAGG